Molecule: ribosomal RNA, 253 nt
Filed under: uncultured bacterium
Lineage: Bacteria
Description: partial 16S ribosomal RNA
Rfam family: Bacterial small subunit ribosomal RNA
Source: RNAcentral
UACGUAGGGGGCAAGCGUUGUCCGGAAUCAUUGGGCGUAAAGCGCGUGUAGGCGGCCCGGUAAGUCCGCUGUGAAAGUCGGGGGCUCAACCCUCGAAUGCCGGUGGAUACUGUCGGGCUAGAGUGCGGAAGAGGCGAGUGGAAUUUACGGUGUAGCGGUGAAAUGCGUAGAUAUCGUAAGGAAGACCAGUGGCGAAGGCGGGUCUCUGGACAGUUCCUGACGCUGAGGCGCGAGAGCGCGGGGAGCGAACGGG